RNAcentral lists this ribosomal RNA (253 nucleotides) under uncultured bacterium. RNAcentral's name for it is "partial 16S ribosomal RNA". It matches the Rfam family "Bacterial small subunit ribosomal RNA", at positions 524 to 776 of the family's 1533-position model. The record is from RNAcentral.
UACGGGGGAUGCGAGCGUUGUCCGGAUUCACUGGGCGUAAAGGGCGCGUAGGCGGCCUUCUAAGUCGAACGUGAAAUCCCUGGGCUCAACCCAGGAACUGCGUCCGAUACUGGAAGGCUUGAAUCCGGGAGAGGGAUGCGGAAUUCCAGGUGUAGCGGUGAAAUGCGCAGAUAUCGGGAGGAACACCAAUGGCGAAGGCAGCUCGCUGGGACGGUACUGACGCUGAGACGCGAAAGCGUGGGGAGCAAACAGG